UACGGAGGGUGCGAGCGUUAAUCGGAAUUACUGGGCGUAAAGCGCAUGCAGGCGGCCUGUUAAGUCAGAUGUGAAAGCCCGGGGCUUAACCUCGGAAUUGCAUUUGAAACUGGCAGGCUAGAGUCUUGUAGAGGGGGGUAGAAUUUCAGGUGUAGCGGUGAAAUGCGUAGAGAUCUGAAGGAAUACCAGUGGCGAAGGCGGCCCCCUGGACAAAGACUGACGCUCAGAUGCGAAAGCGUGGGGAGCAAA
This 249-nucleotide ribosomal RNA is filed under the name uncultured Photobacterium sp. Its description in RNAcentral is "partial 16S ribosomal RNA". It matches the Rfam family "Bacterial small subunit ribosomal RNA", at positions 524 to 772 of the family's 1533-position model. The record is from RNAcentral. Lineage: Bacteria; Pseudomonadati; Pseudomonadota; Gammaproteobacteria; Vibrionales; Vibrionaceae.